GACAGAGGUGCCAAGCGUUAGGCGGAAUCACUGGGCUUGAAGCGUGUGUAGGCGGGCGGGCAAGUACCUUGUGAAAUCCCACGGCUCAACCGUGGAACGGCUGGGUAUACUGCCUGUCUUGAGCCAGCUAGGGGCGACCGGAACAGACGGUGGAGCGGUGAAAUGCGUAGAUAUCGUCUGGAACGCCAAAGGUGAAAACAGGUCGCUGGGGCUGAGCUGACGCUGAGACACGAAAGCCAGGGGAGCGAACGGG
Molecule: ribosomal RNA, 253 nt
Filed under: uncultured bacterium
Lineage: Bacteria
Description: partial 16S ribosomal RNA
Rfam family: Bacterial small subunit ribosomal RNA
Source: RNAcentral